This 891-nucleotide ribosomal RNA is filed under the name Chaetomium globosum. RNAcentral describes it as "LSU rRNA". It matches the Rfam family "Eukaryotic large subunit ribosomal RNA", at positions 38 to 962 of the family's 3401-position model. The record is from RNAcentral. Lineage: Eukaryota; Fungi; Ascomycota; Sordariomycetes; Sordariales; Chaetomiaceae.
GCAUAUCAAUAAGCGGAGGAAAAGAAACCAACAGGGAUUGCCCUAGUAACGGCGAGUGAAGCGGCAACAGCUCAAAUUUGAAAUCUGGCUUCGGCCCGAGUUGUAAUUUGCAGAGGAAGCUUUAGGCGCGGCACUUUCUGAGUCCCCUGGAACGGGGCGCCAUAGAGGGUGAGAGCCCCGUAUAGUUAGAUGCCUAGCCUGUGUAAAGCUCCUUCGACGAGUCGAGUAGUUUGGGAAUGCUGCUCAAAAUGGGAGGUAAAUUUCUUCUAAAGCUAAAUACCGGCCAGAGACCGAUAGCGCACAAGUAGAGUGAUCGAAAGAUGAAAAGCACUUUGAAAAGAGGGUUAAAUAGCACGUGAAAUUGUUGAAAGGGAAGCGCUUGUGACCAGACUUGCGCCGGGCAGAUCAUCCGGUGUUCUCACCGGUGCACUCUGCCCGGCUCAGGCCAGCAUCGGUUCUCGCGGGGGGAUAAAGGCCCUGGGAACGUAGCUCCUCCGGGAGUGUUAUAGCCCGGGGCGUAAUGCCCUCGCGGGGACCGAGGUUCGCGCAUCUGCAAGGAUGCUGGCGUAAUGGUCAUCAGCGACCCGUCUUGAAACACGGACCAAGGAGUCAAGGUUUUGCGCGAGUGUUUGGGUGUAAAACCCGCACGCGUAAUGAAAGUGAACGUAGGUGAGAGCUUCGGCGCAUCAUCGACCGAUCCUGAUGUUUUCGGAUGGAUUUGAGUAGGAGCGUUAAGCCUUGGACCCGAAAGAUGGUGAACUAUGCUUGGAUAGGGUGAAGCCAGAGGAAACUCUGGUGGAGGCUCGCAGCGGUUCUGACGUGCAAAUCGAUCGUCAAAUCUGAGCAUGGGGGCGAAAGACUAAUCGAACCAUCUAGUAGCUGGUUACCGCC